Molecule: ribosomal RNA, 907 nt
Filed under: uncultured bacterium
Lineage: Bacteria
Description: bacterial SSU rRNA
Rfam family: Bacterial small subunit ribosomal RNA
Source: RNAcentral
AGAGUUUGAUCAUGGCUCAGAAUGAACGCUGGCGGCGUGCUUAACACAUGCAAGUCGAGCGAGGCCUGGGGGGCAACUCCCAGAGUCGAGCGGCGGACGGGUGAGUAACACGUGGGUAACCUGCCCGGAAGUGGGGAAUACCUCGGGGAAACUCGAGCUAAUACCGCAUGACAUCUUCGGGACGAAAGUCCUGACGAUCAAAGCGGGGUCGCAAGAUCUCGCGCUACCGGAUGGGCCCGCGCCCGAUUAGCUAGUUGGUGAGGUAACGGCUCACCAAGGCUUCGAUCGGUAACCGGCCUGAGAGGGCGAUCGGUCACACCGGAACUGAGACACGGUCCGGACUCCUACGGGAGGCAGCAGUGGGGAAUCUUGCGCAAUGGGCGAAAGCCUGACGCAGCAACGCCGCGUGGAGGAUGAAGGCCUUUGGGUUGUAAACUCCUGUCGGCUGGGAAGAAAUCAUACGGUGCUCAUACCACCGUGUGUUGACUGUACCAGCAAAGGAAGCCCCGGCUAACUCUGUGCCAGCAGCCGCGGUAAUACAGAGGGGGCUAGCGUUAUUCGGAAUUAUUGGGCGUAAAGGGCGCGUAGGCGGCCAUGCGUGUCUUCCGUGAAAUCCCUCGGCUUAACUGAGGACGUGCGGAAGAAACUGCGAGGCUUGAGUCCCGGAGAGGGGGGUGGAAUUCCCAGUGUAGCGGUGAAAUGCGUAGAUAUUGGGAGGAACACCGGUGGCGAAGCGGCCCCUGGACCGGUACUGACGCUGAGCGCGAAAGCGUGGUAGCAAACGGGAUUAGAUACCCGGUAGUCCACGCCGUAAACGAUGGGCACUGGUGUCGCGGGUAUCGACCCUGCGGUGCGAAGCUAACGCAUUAAGUGCCCCGCCUGGGGAGUACGUCGCAAGGCUGAAACU